GCAGUUUGAGGGGAUGUAAUCUGCCAGGAGUCGAGUUUGAAAGCUGCUCCUUCCUUCCUGUACCCAGGAGCAGCCCUGCUGAGCUCCCUGCUGCUCCAUCACAGCAAGCACUGCUCGCAUAGAGAAACCCCCCACCGGGUGCACAGUGCCAUUCUCUCCCUGUCAGCAGAACUCUGCUUGUAUGGGAUGUGGUGUUCUAUUUCAGUAAGAUUUGUUCAGCUUCUUCUUUUGGCAUUAACGAAGACGUCUAAUCAAUCAUUCUUUUAUUUCACAUCCAGCUGAGAAAGUGUUCAGGUGGGAUACCUGAGCUCCAAUAAUGCCCUUGAGAAAUUUCUCUUGAUUUCUUUUAUUUUUUCACAUCAAGAAGUUUCUUUUUCACAAACAUCUUCAGAUCUGCCCCCAUCCCUUAGGGCAUAAUGCUCUCAUUUGCACAGGAGGAUGCUACCUGCUGAUUUGAGCCCUGGGUCUACUGGAAGACUUUUUAAUUUUUGUGUACUUAAGUGAUUGGACUCAAAAAGUUAACUUGAAAACUGAUUCUGAUCCAUCUUCUGUGUCCAAAAAAAGUCUCUAAAAUUAUCUAAAACUAAAGAUAAAUGCAUUCUGCCUUUCCAGUUUCUGAUUCAUUAUAGGAAUUGAUUGACUUGGAGUGGCUGCAAAGCUGACAGCAUGUAGUCUAUUAAUGGAUUAACUCUACAAAGAUCCUGCCCUCUGUUAAAUCUGCUGCUGCAGUUCGGUGGGACCUGUGCCCAUGUCACUAAGAGCAGAACAGGACCCUGGCAGAACAAAUGUCAGGUAUGAACCAAGGAUGGAUGUCUUCCCUUCUUCUCACACUCAGAAGCCACGGUGUCAGCAUCCUGAGCAAAAAAAGAGGGAGAAAAAGGUGAAGUCUUCAUCUAGAUCAAGUGGAAAUGCACUUCCAGCACUGAUUUACAGAGGAUGGGAAGGAAGAGCUACUUGCUCUGGUCCCCUUGGAAGAGCUCGUGUUUGUACCCACAAAGCCACCUACACAACACAUGUUUUUCAAGGAUUGAACACCAAGAUCAGCACUUCCCAUCAUCUUACUUUGAUGAUUUAGAUCCUGUACUAAAGCCUAAAUCCAUUUUUAUGGCCUCAUCAGCCUCAACCUGACUGUCUGGUAACAUCCAGGCAGCUUAAACUGAGAACUGCCAGAUCUGUUUGAUCCUCACUCAAUUUUCAGAGCAAGGAAGACCUGGGCCCGCGGGAGAGGGCGAUAAGCUGUCUCUCUGGAAGAAAUUUUGGUGUUGCUCAUCUGUUCCGCUCCGUGUUGUAAUUGCUUACACCGUGCAUGAGACCUGGGCUCUUCAGAUAGCAGAAAAUAGUUCAGAGGCUCUGAUGAACAUCUGCACUUCAGGCUGCCUAUCUGAAAUUAAUCUUUCUUUUUGAGCACGGGGUUGUAUCACUUGGACAUGAAAAGGCCACGAUCUUGUCAUCUCCUUCUUGCAUACCUAAUGUCUGCGCUGGCUUUGGAUCAAUUGCAAAAAAUGAAAUAAACAGACCAAUUUUGCCA
Molecule: long non-coding RNA, 1528 nt
Filed under: Phasianus colchicus (ring-necked pheasant)
Lineage: Eukaryota; Metazoa; Chordata; Aves; Galliformes; Phasianidae
Description: lncRNA (ENSPCLG00000006391.1)
Source: RNAcentral